GCGUGCGCAGUUUCCGUAGCAAUACGGGGAUGGGCGCACGGCGCACGGGUGCGUAACACGUGGGCAAUCUGCCCUCCGAUGGGGAAUAACCCCGCGAAAGCGGGGCUAAUUCCGCAUAACAUUCCGGGGACCUAGGUUCCUGGAUUCAAAGCAGUGAUGCGUCGGAGGAGGAGCCCGCGCCCGAUUAGCUAGUUGGUGAGGUAACGGCUCACCAAGGCAAUGAUCGGUAGCUGGUCUGAGAGGAUGGCCAGCCACACUGGAACUGAGACACGGUCCAGACUCCUACGGGAGGCAGCAGUGGGGAAUCUUGCGCAAUGGGCGAAAGCCUGACGCAGCGACGCCGCGUGGGGGAUGAAGCUUCUCGGAGUGUAAACCCCUUUCGACUGGGACGAAUGCCCGCAAGGGAGUGACGGUACCAGUAGAAGAAGCCCCGGCUAACUACGUG
RNAcentral lists this ribosomal RNA (445 nucleotides) under uncultured bacterium. RNAcentral's name for it is "bacterial SSU rRNA". It matches the Rfam family "Bacterial small subunit ribosomal RNA", at positions 64 to 507 of the family's 1533-position model. The record is from RNAcentral.